UUGCGCCUGCGGCGGACCCGGCGCGGACUUUUCCAUGGCUUCGCAGGCAGCCUGUUCGCGUACGGCCCUGUACGUCCAGGAAUUAUCCUGGCUUUAAUGAUUUCU
This 105-nucleotide non-coding RNA is filed under the name unclassified sequences. RNAcentral describes it as "RT-5 RNA". It matches the Rfam family "RT-5 RNA". Rfam says of the family: Clostridium (Firmicutes). Environment (Cow rumen (57)) The record is from Rfam by way of RNAcentral.